This 181-nucleotide ribosomal RNA is filed under the name Typhicola typharum. RNAcentral's name for it is "partial 28S ribosomal RNA". It matches the Rfam family "Eukaryotic large subunit ribosomal RNA", at positions 1 to 166 of the family's 3401-position model. The record is from RNAcentral. Lineage: Eukaryota; Fungi; Ascomycota; Dothideomycetes; Pleosporales; Pleosporaceae.
CCUAUUUUCAACUUUUGACCUCGGAUCAGGUAGGGAUACCCGCUGAACUUAAGCAUAUCAAUAAGCGGAGGAAAAGAAACCAACAGGGAUUGCCCUAGUAACGGCGAGUGAAGCGGCAACAGCUCAAAUUUGAAAUCUGGCUCUUUUAGGGUCCGAGUUGUAAUUUGCAGAGGGCGCUUUG